RNAcentral lists this ribosomal RNA (376 nucleotides) under uncultured bacterium. RNAcentral's name for it is "bacterial SSU rRNA". It matches the Rfam family "Bacterial small subunit ribosomal RNA", at positions 9 to 414 of the family's 1533-position model. The record is from RNAcentral.
GAGUUUGAUCGUGGCUCAGAACGAACGCUGGCGGCAUGCCUAACACAUGCAAGUCGAACGAAGGCUUCGGCCUUAGUGGCGCACGGGUGCGUAACGCGUGGGAAUCUGCCCUUGGGUUCGGAAUAACAGCGGGAAACUGCUGCUAAUACCGGAUGAUGACGUAAGUCCAAAGAUUUAUCGCCCAAGGAUGAGCCCGCGUAGGAUUAGCUAGUUGGUGGGUAAAGGCCCACCAAGGCGACGAUCCUUAGCUGGUCUGAGAGGAUGAUCAGCCACACUGGGACUGAGACACGGCCCAGACUCCUACGGGAGGCAGCAGUGGGGAAUAUUGGACAAUGGGCGAAAGCCUGAUCCAGCAAUGCCGCGUGAGUGAUGAAGG